CCUACGGGAGGCAGCAGUGAGGGAUAUUGGUCAAUGGACGAGAGUCUGAACCAGCCAAGUAGCGUGAAGGAUGACUUCCCUAUGGGUGGUAAGCUUCUUUUAUAUGGGAGUAAAAUGUUCCACGUGUGGGAUUUUGUAUGUACCAUAUGAAUAAGGAUCGGCUAAAUCCGUGCCAGCAGCCGCGGUAAUACGGAGGAUCCGAGCGUUAUCCGGAUGUAUUGGGUUUAAGGGGAGCGUAGGUGGAUUGUUAAGUCAGUUGUGAAAGUUUGCGGCUCAACCGUAAAAUUGCAGUUGAAACUGGCAGUCUUGAGUACAGUAGAGGUGGGCGGAAUUCGUGGUGUAGCGGUGAAAUGCUUAGAUAUCACGAAGAACUCCGAUUGCGAAGGCAGCUCACUGGACUGCAACUGACACUGAGGCUCGAAAGUGUGGGGAUCAAACAGGAUUAGAUACCCCAGUAGUC
This 460-nucleotide ribosomal RNA is filed under the name uncultured bacterium. RNAcentral's name for it is "partial 16S ribosomal RNA". It matches the Rfam family "Bacterial small subunit ribosomal RNA", at positions 338 to 795 of the family's 1533-position model. The record is from RNAcentral.